GUACACUCCUGCGGGAGGCAGCAGUGGGGAAUUUUGGACAAUGGGCGAAAGCCUGAUCCAGCAAUGCCGCGUGAGUGAAGAAGGCCUUCGGGUUGUAAAGCUCUUUUGUCAGGGAAGAAACGGUGAAAGCUAAUAUCUUUUGCUAAUGACGGUACCUGAAGAAUAAGCACCGGCUAACUACGUGCCAGCAGCCGCGGUAAUACGUAGGGUGCAAGCGUUAAUCGGAAUUACUGGGCGUAAAGCGUGCGCAGGCGGUUUUGUAAGUCUGAUGUGAAAUCCCCGGGCUCAACCUGGGAAUUGCAUUGGAGACUGCAAGGCUAGAAUCUGGCAGAGGGGGGUAGAAUUCCACGUGUAGCAGUGAAAUGCGUAGAUAUGUGGAGGAACACCGAUGGCGAAGGCAGCCCCCUGGGUCAAGAUUGACGCUCAUGCACGAAAGCGUGGGGAGCAAACAGGAUUAGAAACCCUAGUAGUCCCAUG
This 477-nucleotide ribosomal RNA is filed under the name uncultured organism. Its description in RNAcentral is "partial 16S ribosomal RNA". It matches the Rfam family "Bacterial small subunit ribosomal RNA", at positions 331 to 799 of the family's 1533-position model. The record is from RNAcentral.